CAAAAAGUAUAAAAUUUAGGUAGUAUUAGAUGUCUUAAAACUUAAAAAAUUUGGCGGUGUUUUAAUCUUAUUAGAGGAACUUGUUUUGUAAUCGAUGAUACACGACAAAUCUUACUUAGGUUUACGCUUGUAUAUCGUUGUAAUAAUAAUAUUUUAUGACCAUUAUUAGGGGUAAUUUUAUUUUUAAUAUCAGAUCAAGGUUCAGUUUAUACUUAAGUAUAAAAUGGGUUACAAUAUAAUAAUAUAUUACGAAAUUUAUACUUUAAAAAUAAAUGAAGGAGGAUUUAAAAGUAUUUUUGUAGUAAUGUGUUGAUUUGAAUUGGUUCUAAAACAUGC
RNAcentral lists this ribosomal RNA (336 nucleotides) under Centruroides suffusus (Mexican scorpion). RNAcentral's name for it is "partial 12S ribosomal RNA". Lineage: Eukaryota; Metazoa; Arthropoda; Arachnida; Scorpiones; Buthidae. The record is from RNAcentral.